GCCAGUGUUGUAAGAAAUCAAACUGCGAUGGUCAACUUGCUGCUAAAUCCAAAGUGAACAGAGGACGGAUUAUCAAGUUCCUUGCUGGUCUGAAUGAGAAGUACUCAAU
This 109-nucleotide small RNA is filed under the name Arabidopsis thaliana (thale cress). RNAcentral describes it as "ATSL030640". The record is from RNAcentral. Lineage: Eukaryota; Viridiplantae; Streptophyta; Magnoliopsida; Brassicales; Brassicaceae.